AACGAACGCUGGCGGCAUGCCUAACACAUGCAAGUCGAACGAGACCUUCGGGUCUAGUGGCGCACGGGUGCGUAACGCGUGGGAAUCUGCCCUUAGGUUCGGAAUAACUCCCCGAAAGGGGUGCUAAUACCGGAUAAUGUCUUCGGACCAAAGAUUUAUCGCCUUUGGAUGGGCCCGCGUUGGAUUAGCUAGUUGGUAGGGUAAAAGCCUACCAAGGCGACGAUCCAUAGCUGGUCUGAGAGGAUGAUCAGCCACACUGGGACUGAGACACGGCCCAGACUCCUACGGGAAGCAGCAGUGGGGAAUAUUGGACAAUGGGCGAAAGCCUGAUCCAGCAAUGCCGCGUGAGUGAUGAAGGCCUUAGGGUUGUAAAGCUCUUUUACCCGGGAUGAUAAUGACAGUACCGGGAGAAUAAGCUCCGGCUAACUCCGUG
Molecule: ribosomal RNA, 433 nt
Filed under: uncultured bacterium
Lineage: Bacteria
Description: partial 16S ribosomal RNA
Rfam family: Bacterial small subunit ribosomal RNA
Source: RNAcentral